Molecule: long non-coding RNA, 5249 nt
Filed under: Fukomys damarensis (Damara mole-rat)
Lineage: Eukaryota; Metazoa; Chordata; Mammalia; Rodentia; Bathyergidae
Description: lncRNA (ENSFDAG00000031887.1)
Source: RNAcentral
AUGUGCUAUGCAAUCAUUUAUUACCCUUCUACUCUCAAAGGGGAUUGUGGCCCUGGUCACCAGAGCUAUGAGCGAUGGUCCAGUUCAAGGCUGUGUUUCAGAACACAGCGGAUCAGCAUGACCAGGAGCAAAGAUAAGGCUGCAAGGAUAACUGAAGAUGCUCCCAGCACCGUUCCUGCCUCUCUCCCUUCAUACCACUUCCCUCCAGGGCUCCUUUGUCCUGGCUCUGAUGCCCUGAGACCUGGCACAUUAGAAGGACUUGUAAGCGGCCACGAGGCUCUCCUCCACGUGACUGAUUCCAAACUCACCACGACUAAUAUUUUGCAAAUGUUACCUGGAUAAAUGAGCAGACCGUGUAUUCUUUGCUGGAGGAGCCUGGGGAUGGCAGCAGUGGCAGCAGGCCCGAAGGACUUCUUACAGUGCACGGUGCUGGUGACAAAGACCCAAAUAGGCCCGUCUGCCUGGGGACACUCAGACUUUAGGUUUUCCUGUUUUUUUUCAGACUGAGACGGUGUCUGCACUGAGUCAGGCAGCCUAGGAACACAGAAACCCGGUCUGUUAUGCUAUUUCCUAAGCCAGUGCAAGUGGAAAUGCCAUAAUGUGAAGAUUUGAUGGAAACACCCUUCUUGUCCAGACAAUCCAUCAUAGCCUCACGACUGGAGGGUCUGGUCAGAGAAAGCAUGGGUUACAAAGAAAGAGGACAAGUGCCGGGAUUAGGUCCAGGGAUCUGGAAUACACGUCAUACAAUUUCUUACCUAAUUCCCAGGAUCCAGGUCCAGGACCGAGAUAUAGAUCAGAAUCUCCCAUGGCUCAGUCGCCCUGCCCUCCCACACUCACUCCUCCCAUGCAGGUAGGCAACAGGUAAGGAGCAUGACUUUGCCCACACCCUGCGGGUGUCACGAAGCCGUUGGUUUCUGUAGCGUGUCACGUAAACACGACUGGAAUAACAGGCAGAUCUUAAGGGGGUACCCCAAAGGGGGAACGUGGUUCAGACGUCUGAAGUCUACUAAACAACACUACGUGGGACAAAUUUCAUUUAAAGCCAGCAUAAUGACACUGAAAGCAUGGUAGCGAGCAAAUGAGUAAGGAGUCCAUCUGAGUGCAGCCUCCAAACUAGUGAAGCUGGGUCUGACAGUACAGCGCGAUUUACCACAGAGCUCGAGGCCCUGUCCUGGUGUGCAGCUGACCUUUGAGUUACCUGGUUUGGGAAGGUGCCAGUUGACCUAACCGACACUUGAAAAUGUUGCCACCAGAGAUGGAAAGGUAUUGCCUUCUUCUAUUUUGAUAAGAAAUCCUCAAAAACGAAAGCGAUUCAAAUGACAACAAUAAGCCCCAGCUCUGUUUUAUUCUUGAGAAGUUUACCAUCUAGUGGGAAAGCAGACAAAAAGUAGCAAUUUUAAAAAGUCAAUUUAAGUGCUCUCUAAGUGUAUGUUGGGGAGAAAUCUCAGAACUCUCUAUUCAGACAGAAGGUGAGGGUUAGAGACGGCCACCACUCUGUCUAGUGACAAGAAACUCUGCACACUUGGCACAUCUUGUUUAGAAAAUGACUGUUGCCUUCCACAUAAAUCAGACUCUUUCCAGAACCACUCUGAAGGACCUUUCGCUUUUCAUAAAUUCUCUGUUGUAACCAUCUGCAUCCUUGGUGAAUGGAAGAAAGUUUAAAAAAGAGCCAAUGCUUGAUGUCAUUUUUAAUUAUUUUUUAAAAAUUGUACAUCCUUAUGGGGUUCAGUGUGAUAAUUCAGUACCUGUGUACAAUAUGUAAUGAUCAAACCAGGGCAAAAUAACAUUUCAGUUUUCUUAAGCACUUACCAUUUCUUUGUGUUGGGAAACUUCAAAGCCUUUUAAGUUGUAGUUCUUUAAGAAAUAUAUAAGAAAUUGUUGUAAUCUAUAGAGUGUCACUGUAUUUAAGUGGUUUCAAUACCCUGUCUGCUGGAUUAAUACUCCUUUCUACAUGGUUUUUAACAAGGCAGUUCUUUCUUGUCUUUCAAACCAUGCCUCUCACUUAAUUCUACCAUAGAUCUUUCUAGCCACCAAAACUGUUUAAAUUCUGGAGACAUUAUUUCCUCUGAAAGACAAAAGCAUAAUGGCUUUUGAUACAGAUUUUUUCUUUCUGGUUUACUUCACUUCUCUUGACUUGUCCUGUUUCCCCCUCCCUGCCUUUUAUACAGUUCAAGAUUUCCUGAGUAGUCAGUGCACAAGCAGUCUGAGCCUGACCAAUAUUUCCAGUAGGUAGUCCCACUUUAUAACAAAAACCUAAAAAAUAUUGAUUUCCUACAAAGUUAUCUGAGUUGAGUGAGAUUAAAAUUGGAGAAUGGACUCCCUUUGGAGCUGCAUGGAGAGCUCAGGUCCUACAAGUGAAAGUCAUCUUCUAAUGCCUUUACAGAGCUGUUUCUGUGCCUUAGCUUAGGAUGGUUCUUAUCCACUCUAAGGGUCUGACCAGGAUCUGGCCAGUUUGACUCAUGACCAAAUGCGGAUGGAUAUUGGAAACUUCAUUUCCUUCUAUCAUUUCUCAAUGGCAGUGUUCAUGUGUCUAUUAUUCCUCUCAAAAGCAGAUGCUGAAAGGAAUCAGGAAUUACAAAGAUGGACCCCCUGAUUUGCAGGCUGGAUCAUCCCAGGGGUGUCUUGCACAUUCUUACGUUUACCUCAACAUCUUAUACCCAUUAGAGGGGAGUGAUUUUGUUGAGUAAGGGGCCAUUCUUAAGGAUUUCUAGCCCAAGUCUGGAUAAAAUGCAGCAUCAGUUCAAUUAUUUUGGAAAUGAUUAUUUUGGCAGUGGUAGGCAGUACAGACUGCUUUGGAAGAAUACUUUAAAAAACUUUUUAAAAAACUAUUUCCAGGUCAGAAAUAAAUACUUUGCACCAACUGAUACGGUCAGUUGGAUUUUCUUAUCGGACCUGUUAAUGUCAUGGAUUAUAUGAACAAAUUUUUGAAACAGCUUCCUUGAGAUACAAUUCACUUACUAGAAAACCUAUCCAAUUAGGCAUUCAAUUAAGUGGUGUUUGGCAUAAUCACAGAGCUGUACAACUAUUACCAGAAUUUAAUUUCAAAAUGUCUUCGUCACUUCCAAAAGAAAAACUGUACCCAACAGAUCUGUGUCACAGUAAAUCUCAACAUUCACCCUAGCCCUCAACACCCAUAAAUCUACUUCUUAUCUCUAUAGAUUUUCCUAUUCUGGACCCUUCAUGUAAAUGGAAUUGUGUAAUAUGUGAUCUUUUGAUCUUUUGCCAUUGACUUUUUUCAUUUAGUAUGCCUUUUUUUUUUUUUCUUUUUGUACCGGGGAUUGAACUCAGGUCCUUGCGCUUGCAAGGCAGGCAGCAGAACCACUGAGCUAAAUCCCCAGCCCCUAGUAUGUCGUUUUUUAAAAAAUUUAAUUUAUUGGUACAUUCUAGGUAGACAGUACAGUUACAUUCAUUACUGGGAUCUUGUACCUUUACAUGCCAGGUCUUGGUUCUCAUUUUUUCCCCUUGUCCCCACUCUCCCUUCACCCCACUUAGUAUGUCAUUUCAAAGGUAGCUUUGUGUUCUAUCAGUAGUUUCUUUUUUAUUGCCAAGUAAUUGUCCAUUGUGUAGAGAAUACAUGCUUUGAUGGAUAUUUGGGUUAUUCCUACUUUUUGAUUAUUAUUAAAUAAUGCUACUCAACAUUUGUGUACCAGUGUUUGUGUGGACCUAAACUUUCAUUUCUUGUGGGUGGAUACUAGGAGGGAAAUUGUUGGGUCACAUGGUAAUUGUAUACUAACCUGUUAAGAAAUGAGAACAGAUAGGCAAAAGUGACAACUUUUCCACAGAAAAUAUUGAGGAUUAUAUGUAAAAGGAAAUCAUGAUUGGGAGUGAAAGGGCAGGCUCCAGCUAGAUUGUUUAACUCUGAUGCUCCAGAUAUCAAGGAUGAUAAAAAAUAUUUCCUAAAGCGGGCAUGGUGGCACAUGCCUGUAAUCCCAGCACUUGGGAGGCUGAGGCAGGAGGAUCGCUGUGAGAUCAAGACCAGCCUGGGCUACAUAGUGAGUUCCAGGUCAGUCUCAACUAGUGAGACCCUGUCUCAAAAAACCAAAAAAAAAAAAAAAAAAAAAAAAUUUUUUUUCCUAGACAAUCCUUAGAAAACAAAGACUUUGAUCAUAGAGCCCUAGGAUUUUUUUUCUGGUUCAGACAGGAAAGUAGAUAGAUUUCCUAUUCAUGUCAGCCAGUGUUGUAUGACACUUCUCAGAAAUGCUCAGGGGGAAAUUAUAUGGAUUUCUAAGGUCUGAUCUGGAUCUUGUAAAGCUAUGCUGCCCGGUACAAUGAUGACUAAUCACAUACAGUCUGUAAAAUUAAAUUAAUCAAAAUAAAAUUUAAAAUUUCACUCUUAGUCGCACGAGGCCCAUUUUGAUUGCUCAGAAUUACGCUGCCUGUGGCACAGCCCUUAUUGCAGCAAAUUCCAUCUGACAGCAUUGCAAAAAUUCUCAACGGGUGAUGACUUUAUCCCCAGAGGCAUCUGGGAAUGUCUAGGGACACUUUUCUUCAUACAACUCAAAGGAAGUAGGUGCUGCCGGUCAGGGAGAGAGACCAAUGGUGUUUCUAGCCAUCCUACAACACAUGGGACACUCUCUAAAAUUGGCCAUCCCAAAGUGCCAGUAUUCCCAAGACUGAGUUCUAAAACAAUGCCUGAACUUGAUCAGCUUUCAUUAAAAAAAAACAAAAACAAAAACAAAAACCUGGCAACCUUUUAAAAAUCCUUUAUGCCUUGUCCCACACUGAAAAGUCUGGUUAUGGAAUAUAAAGAUUAUAGGAUCUAUAUUGUUCAAAACCUUUCCAAGAGAUGCUUAUGAUUGGGUAGACUCAAGAAUGACUGUGUUAAAGUAGUUUGAUUCUCAACACUCAGUCCAGAAGAAAAUCACCUGGUAAAUGUUAGCAAUACUCCUGGAAUAAGUUAAUGGCUCCAAGGCCAUUACUUCCUCUGUUUAAUUUUUUCAGUCUCACCUAUCUUUCAAUGAAUGGGGUCAUUAAGCACUUAAGGAUUGCAUUAAUUUUCCUGUUCUCUCUUUCAGUUCUUUCAUUCUGCAUAGAUCUUCAAACAGUUUUCAAAUGAUUACAUCUUGUUAAAUAUUACACACUUUCUAUUUACAAACAGAAUAAACAACCUAGAAAAUGUUUGGCAGCUUUCUGUGUUCACUGCUCUUUACUAGGACAUAGCCAAGCAAACAGGAACACCAGCCCUGAAGGUAGUAUAGCAAGGCAUAUUACAGUCCAGCGAUUUGCUACCAAAUAACUUAAAGCAGGUA